This 465-nucleotide ribosomal RNA is filed under the name Vreelandella stevensii. RNAcentral's name for it is "partial 16S ribosomal RNA". It matches the Rfam family "Bacterial small subunit ribosomal RNA", at positions 338 to 795 of the family's 1533-position model. Lineage: Bacteria; Pseudomonadati; Pseudomonadota; Gammaproteobacteria; Oceanospirillales; Halomonadaceae. The record is from RNAcentral.
CCUACGGGGGGCAGCAGUGGGGAAUAUUGGACAAUGGGGGGAACCCUGAUCCAGCCAUGCCGCGUGUGUGAAGAAGGCCCUCGGGUUGUAAAGCACUUUCAGUGAGGAAGAACGCCUGGUGGUUAAUACCCAUCAGGAAAGACAUCACUCACAGAAGAAGCACCGGCUAACUCCGUGCCAGCAGCCGCGGUAAUACGGAGGGUGCGAGCGUUAAUCGGAAUUACUGGGCGUAAAGCGCGCGUAGGUGGCUUGAUAAGCCGGUUGUGAAAGCCCCGGGCUCAACCUGGGAACGGCAGCCGGAACUGUCAAGCUAGAGUGCAGGAGAGGAAGGUAGAAUUCCCGGUGUAGCGGUGAAAUGCGUAGAGAUCGGGAGGAAUACCAGUGGCGAAGGCGGCCUUCUGGGCUGACACUGACACUGAGGUGCGAAAGCGUGGGUAGCAAACAGGAUUAGAUACCCUAGUAGUC